RNAcentral lists this ribosomal RNA (464 nucleotides) under uncultured Klebsiella sp. Its description in RNAcentral is "bacterial SSU rRNA". It matches the Rfam family "Bacterial small subunit ribosomal RNA", at positions 338 to 795 of the family's 1533-position model. Lineage: Bacteria; Pseudomonadati; Pseudomonadota; Gammaproteobacteria; Enterobacterales; Enterobacteriaceae. The record is from RNAcentral.
CCUACGGGCGGCAGCAGUGGGGAAUAUUGCACAAUGGGCGCAAGCCUGAUGCAGCCAUGCCGCGUGUGUGAAGAAGGCCUUCGGGUUGUAAAGCACUUUCAGCGGGGAGGAAGGCGUUAAGGUUAAUAACCUUGGCGAUUGACGUUACCCGCAGAAGAAGCACCGGCUAACUCCGUGCCAGCAGCCGCGGUAAUACGGAGGGUGCAAGCGUUAAUCGGAAUUACUGGGCGUAAAGCGCACGCAGGCGGUCUGUCAAGUCGGAUGUGAAAUCCCCGGGCUCAACCUGGGAACUGCAUUCGAAACUGGCAGGCUAGAGUCUUGUAGAGGGGGGUAGAAUUCCAGGUGUAGCGGUGAAAUGCGUAGAGAUCUGGAGGAAGACCGGUGGCGAAGGCGGCCCCCUGGACAAAGACUGACGCUCAGGUGCGAAAGCGUGGGGAGCAAACAGGAUUAAUACCCGGGUAGUC